AAAGCCAGUUCAUGCUUUUACAGUAUGAAAAUUGGUGAUUUAUAAUAACUUAGCAAAUCGCAAAGUGAAAACAGGCGAUAAAUCAUUCAAGUUUCUGACCUAUCAGCUUUCGACGGUAUGGUAUUGGCUUACCGUGGCAGUGACGGUUAACGGGGGAUUAGGGUUCGAUUCCGGAGAGGGAGCCUGAGAAACGGCUACCACAUCUAAGGAAGGCAGCAGGCGCGCAAAUUACCCAAUUCUAACAGUUUGAGAGAGGUAGUAACAAGAAAUAACAAUACAAGGCAGUUAAAAUGCUUUGUAAUUGGAAUGAUAGAAAUUUAAACCCUUUUUAAAGUAUCAAUUGGAGGGCAAGUCUGGUGCCAGCAGCCGCGGUAAUUCCAGCUCCAAUAGCGUAUAUUAAAAUUGUUGCAGUUAAAAAGCUCGUAGUUGAAGUUCUGCUGAAAGUAACCGGUCUGCUUUUAAUAAAAGUGGUAUCUUGGUAUGUAUUUAGCAAUGAUGUCCUUUGAAGUGUUUUUUACUUUAUUGUAAUAAAGCAUAUUCAGGACUUUUACUUUGAGAAAAUUAGAGUGU
RNAcentral lists this ribosomal RNA (570 nucleotides) under Hepatozoon canis. RNAcentral's name for it is "bacterial SSU rRNA". It matches the Rfam family "Eukaryotic small subunit ribosomal RNA", at positions 218 to 774 of the family's 1831-position model. Lineage: Eukaryota; Apicomplexa; Hepatozoidae. The record is from RNAcentral.